This 428-nucleotide unclassified non-coding RNA is filed under the name Hevea brasiliensis (rubber tree). Lineage: Eukaryota; Viridiplantae; Streptophyta; Magnoliopsida; Malpighiales; Euphorbiaceae. The record is from RNAcentral.
AGAAUUCACACCAAAUAUUCAACAAGAUCGAACAAAAUGAAUUUUAAAAAUAAAUUGUAAUGAGACACUAGAGCUAAUGAAAGAAGACACCAAAAAUUAAUGACAUAAUAAGCGAAAGACCUAUGUUUGAGAAAAAAAACCUAAUGUAAAGAAACUCUAACAAGAUGAAAAUUAAAUAAAUUGAAUGUAAUAAAAUCACAAUUGUAAUUUCCAAGUAAAAAAUCUCACAGUUGGUGGUGUAAAUCUCACAACUGGUAGUGUAAUUUCAAUUUAACAAGCAAACAAGGGAAUUUUUAUACCAAAUUUUACAAGUAACUCAAAGAUGAUGUUUAUAGAUAUCCUAUAAAAUUUCAGCAAAAUCUAGGUUGAUUUGGUAUAAGUUCUAAAAAUCACACCCAUUAUGCCAAAAAUGCACAACAUCAACAAUU